GCUCGCUUGAGCCCAACCUCCCACCCGUGUUUACUGUUACCGCGUUGCCUCGGCGGGCCCACUGGGGCCUUGGUCCCGGUCGCCGGGGGGCAUCUGCCCCCGGGCCCGCGCCCGCCGAAGCGCUCCCGAACCCUGUCUGAACAGUGAGUCUGAGUACGAUUGAAUCAUUAAAACUUUCAACAACGGAUCUCUUGGUUCCGGCAUCGAUGAAGAACGCAGCGAAAUGCGAUAAGUAAUGUGAAUUGCAGAAUUCCGUGAAUCAUCGAAUCUUUGAACGCACAUUGCGCCCCCUGGCAUUCCGGGGGGCAUGCCUGUCCGAGCGUCAUUUCUGCCCUCCAGCACGGCUGGGUGUUGGGUGCUGUCCCCCCGGGGACACACCCCAAAGGCAGUGGCGGCGCCGCGUCGGGUCCUCGAGCGUAUGGGGCUUUGUCACCCGCUCGGGAAGGACUCGCCGGCGCUGGUCUUCCUCUUAGGCGGUCCUUCGGGGCUGUCUUCCUUCCGGUUGACCUCGGAUCAGGUAGGGUUACCCGCUGAACUUAAGCAUAUCA
Molecule: ribosomal RNA, 548 nt
Filed under: fungal sp. AM2013
Lineage: Eukaryota; Fungi
Description: eukaryotic LSU rRNA
Rfam family: 5.8S ribosomal RNA (bases 172-325)
Source: RNAcentral